UAUGACUUCAUUUCUCCAUGUUGUAUGUGA
This 30-nucleotide non-coding RNA is filed under the name Mus musculus (house mouse). Lineage: Eukaryota; Metazoa; Chordata; Mammalia; Rodentia; Muridae. The record is from RNAcentral.